UACGUAGGGUGCGAGCGUUAAUCGGAAUUACUGGGCGUAAAGCGUGCGCAGGCGGUUCUGCAAGUCAGAUGUGAAAUCCCCGGGCUUAACCUGGGAACUGCGUUUGAAACUACGGAGCUAGAGUGCGGCAGAGGGGGGUGGAAUUCCACGUGUAGCAGUGAAAUGCGUAGAUAUGUGGAGGAACACCGAUGGCGAAGGCAGCUCGCUGGGACGGUACUGACGCUGAGGCGCGAAAGCGUGGGGAGCGAACAGG
RNAcentral lists this ribosomal RNA (253 nucleotides) under uncultured bacterium. RNAcentral's name for it is "partial 16S ribosomal RNA". It matches the Rfam family "Bacterial small subunit ribosomal RNA", at positions 524 to 776 of the family's 1533-position model. The record is from RNAcentral.